AGGGUGAACCUGCGGAGGGAUCAUUACCGAGUUUACAACUCCCAAACCCCUGUGAACAUACCAAUUGUUGCCUCGGCGGAUCAGCCCGCUCCCGGUAAAACGGGACGGCCCGCCAGAGGACCCCUAAACUCUGUUUCUAUAUGUAACUUCUGAGUAAAACCAUAAAUAAAUCAAAACUUUCAACAACGGAUCUCUUGGUUCUGGCAUCGAUGAAGAACGCAGCAAAAUGCGAUAAGUAAUGUGAAUUGCAGAAUUCAGUGAAUCAUCGAAUCUUUGAACGCACAUUGCGCCCGCCAGUAUUCUGGCGGGCAUGCCUGUUCGAGCGUCAUUUCAACCCUCAAGCCCCCGGGUUUGGUGUUGGGGAUCGGCGAGCCCUUGCGGCAAGCCGGCCCCGAAAUCUAGUGGCGGUCUCGCUGCAGCUUCCAUUGCGUAGUAGUAAAACCCUCGCAACUGGUACGCGGCGCGGCCAAGCCGUUAAACCCCCAACUUCUGAAUGUUGACCUCGGAGCAGGUAUGAAAAACCCCGGCCC
Molecule: ribosomal RNA, 530 nt
Filed under: Fusarium proliferatum
Lineage: Eukaryota; Fungi; Ascomycota; Sordariomycetes; Hypocreales; Nectriaceae
Description: eukaryotic LSU rRNA
Rfam family: 5.8S ribosomal RNA (bases 175-328)
Source: RNAcentral